AUGGAGGCCGUGCAUGAGGGCAAUGGAGGAGGGAGCGGCCUGGUGGUGACGGAGCUGAGCCACAUCAAGGAGCUGGUGAAGCAGCUGGACGUGCACCUGGGGGGCUCGCCCGACCUCUGCAAGCUCCUCGCCCAGCAGAUCUUCGCCGUCACCGAGAGGUCCAUCGGCAUGAUCAAGUCCGGCCACUUCAACGGCCCCAAGCGCUCGGCCGCCGGCGCCGGCCUCGACUCGCCGCCGCUGUCCGCCACGCCCAGCCCCGUCAGCGGCGUCUCCAACACGCCGUUCAAGCCCAACAAGAAGAGGAAGACGUCAGAGAAAGGGAGGCAUCAAAUCAGGGUGAGCUCGGCGGCGGGAGGAGCGGACGCCCCGGCCGACGACGGCCACAGCUGGAGGAAGUACGGCCAGAAGGACAUCCUGGGAGCCCAGCACCCAAGGGCAUACUACCGUUGCACGUACCAGAAGACUCAGGGAUGCGCCGCGACGAAGCAGGUGCAGCGCGCCGACGAGGACCCGGCGCUCUUCGACGUGAUCUACCACGGCGAGCACACCUGCGUCCAUAAGACGGCGGCGGCGGCGGGCAUGGUGCAGCCGGCCGGGCAGAACCCGGACGCGCAAAGCCUUCUGCAGAGCCUGAGCUCGAGCCUGACGGUGAAGACCGAGGGGCUCACGGCGGCGGGAACGCAGGGCUGGAGCACCACCACGCCCUUCAGUUUCUCCUCGCCGGCGGUGAGCGGCAUGACGCCGGCGGAGCACCACCCGUUCUCCACGCCGUCGACGCCGGAGAACUGCUUCGUGUCGAUGCCCACGUCGCUCGAACCCUCGCCGGCGACCUCAGGCUCGAACCACAUGUGCAUGACCCCGUUCCAUGUGCACUCCGAGCUCCAAACAAUGGUGUCUGCGCUCGUGGAGGCGACGAGCAUGCCGGCCGCCGACACGGAGGAGGCCGCCUUCUCCUACUGGGGCUUCGACGAUUCUGCCUUGCACGUUAACAACCUCGACGAGGACGUCAACAACUUCGACAUUUCUACCUUCUUCGCAUGA
This 1041-nucleotide ribosomal RNA is filed under the name Triticum aestivum (bread wheat). RNAcentral describes it as "partial small subunit ribosomal RNA". The record is from RNAcentral. Lineage: Eukaryota; Viridiplantae; Streptophyta; Magnoliopsida; Poales; Poaceae.